GUAGUGAAGGAAUACUGACAUAGCCCCUUGAUAUUAUUGAAAGUCAGUUAACAAAAAAAAAUUAUGGUAAAAAGUUUAAUCUACUGACAGAGGGGUUUAUUGUUAAAAUAAAGCACAUUUUUUUCUGCUGCAUAACAGUGUCUAGUUGCUGUUCCAAGGCAAAAUGUUUUUUUUUUUUUAUUAUUCUACGCUAAUAUUGUCAUGUUUACAAAGGCUAGUAAAAGAAGAAAAAGGAUGAAGGCACAUCAAAGUCAUAAUGAUAGAAAAUUAAAUGUUUGACUUUCUUUCAUUUUCAAUUAAAGUAAAUCUACUACAGGACGAGGUUCUAAUUUGACGCAGGCUGUAUUUUAUUUUGAAGGGAACUUGUGUGUGCUGCUGUCAAAAGUAAAAUAAAUUAAAAUUGUUACCUAGAAAUGACACUGUUAGUUCAAUUAUAGUACUUAAAAGGUACAUUUUAUAAAUGAAUAUUUUAAUGGCCAUAAACACAUAAAUAAAGUGUAUUUUUCUAGACAGGGAAAAUGGGACUUUGCUGCCCUGGCUGGAUUUUGGUCAGUAAGAACCUGGACCAAAUGGCUCAUUUAGCAUCUAAGGUUGCAGACCCUUAAGUUAUGCUGAUGUCAUAUUUGCCCCUAACAUCCAAACAUGCACCUCUUAGUGGUAAAAGAUAAAUAUUACAUCCCAGCUUGCAAUGAGACAAUAUGCAAUAUGAGUAAAUAGAAAUUCUCACAGCCAUGAUGCUGACAACUAUAUAAUUAUUGGCUGGAAUAAGUGUUGUGCCAACAACGUCAUUUAUCCUCAGAAUAAAUAAGUUAAGGAAAAGAGAUUAAAGUAGACCAUUAACUAAGUGUAGUGUUUUUUUCUUCACAAAAAUCCACUUAAGUUGUUAAAUGUCAAGUGUGGUACACUAAAACUACUGUUCGCAUUCAGUUAUUUCCUAACUCCACUAGUCUGCUAGUUUAUCAAAGUAUUAAAACUGUUAAAUGCUAUGUUUCCUAAUGGCAGAGUGGAUGUGGCACAGGAAUGGAGUUUCUUCCCUUUUUUCGAGCGCGUGCAGCUUGCCGCGUGGGCCCGUGUUUUGGCCUGCUGCCUUACAUGGGCAAACCUCUGAACUCACUCAGACGGCUGGAAUGCUGAGGCGUGACGUCACUGGCCACAACUCUUCCAGAUUUUGCUUCAAGAAGUUUCACUUUUUUUGGUUGGAUUUCAGCUUCUCCCGGGUUUCCUAGAAAGCGCAGAGAUUUCAACACACUGCAGAGAGGACAGCCAUCUUCCAGAAAUUCUUUGGAUACAAAGUAGGAAAAGGAUCCUGCCACUCUGACCCUCACAGGAGUCACCUUUUGCCCUUCACACCCCCAACCUAUCAUUACCGGUGCAAC
This is a non-coding RNA of Oryzias latipes (Japanese medaka), 1376 nucleotides long. Lineage: Eukaryota; Metazoa; Chordata; Actinopteri; Beloniformes; Adrianichthyidae. The record is from RefSeq and is a predicted model, not a curated record.